CAAGCGUGAGGUAAGGGCAAUUCGUGGAUGCCUUGGCGCAUACAGGCGAUGAAGGACGUGGCACGCUGCGAUAAGCUGCGGUGAGGUGUGAGCAACCUUUGACCCGCAGAUUUCCGAAUGGGGAAACCCACCCAUCCCGUUUAACUCUGCCGUGUGGUGACACACGGUUGGGCUAAAUGGGUUGAGGUAUCAUGAAGGUGAAUACAUAGCUUUCGUGAAGCGAACCCGGCGAACUGAAACAUCUCAGUAGCUGGAGGAAAAGACAUCAACCGAGAUUCCGUUAGUAGUGGCGAGCGAACGCGGACCAGGCCAGUGCCUGAUAUUCAACUAGCAGAACAGUUUGGAAAGACUGGCCGUAGCGGGUGACAGCCCCGUAUGCGAAAGUGAGA
Molecule: ribosomal RNA, 389 nt
Filed under: Sphingomonas sp. NFR15
Lineage: Bacteria; Pseudomonadati; Pseudomonadota; Alphaproteobacteria; Sphingomonadales; Sphingomonadaceae
Description: Bacterial large subunit ribosomal RNA
Rfam family: Bacterial large subunit ribosomal RNA
Source: Rfam by way of RNAcentral